Molecule: ribosomal RNA, 537 nt
Filed under: Centraspis ducalis
Lineage: Eukaryota; Metazoa; Arthropoda; Insecta; Hemiptera; Reduviidae
Description: partial 16S ribosomal RNA
Rfam family: Bacterial large subunit ribosomal RNA
Source: RNAcentral
UAUCAAAAACAUGUCCUUUAGUUGUUUAUAUUUAAGGUCUAACCUGCCCAAUGAUUUUUAUUUAAUGGCCGCAGUAUUUUAACUGUGCUAAGGUAGCAUAAUCAUUUGUCUUUUAAUUGAGGGCUGGAAUGAAUGGUUGGACGAGAAACUUUCUUUCUUUUAUUUAAUUAAUGAAUUUAACUUUUUAGUUAAAAGGCUUAACUUUUUUUAUGGGACGAGAAGACCCUAUAGAUCUUUAUAUUUUAAAUAUUAUAUAUUUGUUUAGUUAUUGAUUAAUUUUAUUAUUUGAUUUAUUUUGUUGGGGUGAUGCAGGAAUUUAAUGAACUUCUUGUUUUAUUUAUUCAUUUAUUUAUGUUUUUUUGAUCCAUUUUUAUGAUUAUAAGAUUAAGUUACCUUAGGGAUAACAGCGUAAUUUUUUCGGAGAGUUCAUAUCGAUGAAGAAGUUUGCGACCUCGAUGUUGGAUUAAAAUAAGUUUUGGGCGUAGUAGUUCAAUUACUAGGUCUGUUCGACCUUUAAUUUUUUACAUGAUCUGAGUU